AGAGUUAAAUAGUACGUGAAAUUGUUGAAAGGGAAACGAUUGAAGUCAGUCAUGCUAGUGAAAAAUCAGUUUGACGGGUUUUUAGUUCUUGAGUAGAGGCAGGGUCAAACCGUUUCUCUUUUGGACUUAGAAUUUAUCAGAUGUAUUUUUUCUUUGGCAGGUCAGCGUCGAUUUCGGAGGUUGUAAAAUACUUGGGGAAAAGUAGCUCUGCUUCGGGAGAGUAUUAUAGACCUUGGGGGAUGCAGCCUGCGGGAUCGAGGAUUGCAGCAAAUGCCUUUGGCUUGUCGACUGAUCUCUGGUUGUUACCUCUCUUGUGACAACAUUCUUGCCACCAGAGGGUACUAAUGGCCAUUAGGUUAGAACGAUCAAAAUUUUGCUAAGGAUGUUGACGUAAUGGCUUUAAACGACC
Molecule: non-coding RNA, 409 nt
Filed under: uncultured fungus
Lineage: Eukaryota; Fungi
Also listed under: 1 other name
Source: RNAcentral